This 86-nucleotide transfer RNA is filed under the name subsurface metagenome. RNAcentral describes it as "tRNA-Asp". It matches the Rfam family "tRNA". From Rfam's summary of the family: Transfer RNA (tRNA) molecules are approximately 80 nucleotides in length. Their secondary structure includes four short double-helical elements and three loops (D, anti-codon, and T loops). The record is from RNAcentral.
GCCCCGGUGAUGGAAUUGGUAGACAUACUGGAUUAUCAAUCCAGUGAGAUGCAUUCUCGUGAGGGUUCAAAUCCCUCCCGGGGUAC